Molecule: long non-coding RNA, 846 nt
Organism: Suricata suricatta (meerkat)
Lineage: Eukaryota; Metazoa; Chordata; Mammalia; Carnivora; Herpestidae
Exons: 5
Source: RefSeq, a predicted model, not a curated record
GGUUGUUAGGACCAGAAGAGCAGAGACAGGGGAGUCACGGGGUGGGUCUGCAGUGCCACCAUCUUCUACUCCCCACCUUUGUCUCCUGAGAUGAGGCUCAUUUGUAUAUUCAUUUAUGCAAAUGGUUCUAGAGCACCUACUGUGUGUCAGUCACCAGAGGUACUGGCUACAAAACCAAAUCUGCCAGCCUUCUGAAGAUGGAGAUGGGGAAGUCAUGCAGCUUCGCAUCCAGCAAGGGGUAGCACCGGCUCAGACAGGAGGGCGCAAGAGAAACAGAUUCCAUGUCUUGGUGGGAGGAGGGGCAAAGCCAUGUCCAAAGAAUGGCACACAGGAAGGAGGGAUUGUGUGCCCAUCUUUGAAAAGCUGUGGAGAGAGCUGCUCAGCAAGUGGCACUUGGUUCCAGCAGCCCUAGGGAAGGAAUGCAGGGCAUCUGCUAUGAGUGUUUUAGCAGAAGCCCACAAGGAAGAGCAAUGCUUUUCGUACCUAGCACUUCACUUUUAGACCCAAGAAGAUCCCUUGGCCCAAGGGGAAACAGUAGGUGCUCUCUGGCAUUAUUCUUGAAUGAGUGCUCGUUACCUUCGGCCAAUGAACUUCAGGCAGCAUUCCAGAUGAAGGAAACAGGAUGCUGUAGGCACAGUGUCUGCUUAGAAGGAAGAGAUAAGGCUUCCCUGCCAAAGCAAAAAGACUGAUUGAUGCUGAUGGAUUUUGUCCUCUGAGAGAAGGCUGCAGCAUGCUAUUAUUUUCUUUUGAAUGACUUCUAGACGGAAGUUAAUAAAACGCAAAACCAAACCUGGAUUUGAGGCCUGGCUAGGCCCAAGUCUGUGUGACCUUGGAUGAAUUACUUAA